This 20-nucleotide non-coding RNA is filed under the name Arabidopsis thaliana (thale cress). Lineage: Eukaryota; Viridiplantae; Streptophyta; Magnoliopsida; Brassicales; Brassicaceae. The record is from RNAcentral.
GGACCGACGCGGAUUACGGU